AACGUAGGUGGCGAGCGUUAUUCGGAUUUACUGGGCGUAAAGCGCGUGCAGGCGGUUUCGCAAGUCGGACGUUAAAUCUCCCGGCUCAACUGGGAGGCGUCGUUCGAAACUGCGAGACUCGAGGUCGGGAGAGGAGAGCGGAAUUCCCGGUGUAGUGGUGGAAUGCGUAGAUAUCGGGAGGAACACCUGUGGCGAAAGCGGCUCUCUGGCCCGCACCUGACGCUAAGACGCGAAAGCGUGGGGAGCGAACAGG
This 253-nucleotide ribosomal RNA is filed under the name uncultured bacterium. RNAcentral's name for it is "partial 16S ribosomal RNA". It matches the Rfam family "Bacterial small subunit ribosomal RNA", at positions 524 to 776 of the family's 1533-position model. The record is from RNAcentral.